Sceloporus undulatus (fence lizard) is the source of this 379-nucleotide long non-coding RNA. RefSeq lists it as uncharacterized. NCBI's taxonomy places the organism in Eukaryota, Metazoa, Chordata, Lepidosauria, Squamata, Phrynosomatidae. The record is from RefSeq and is a predicted model, not a curated record. The transcript has 3 exons.
UUUUUGUUCAGUGGUUCCAAGUGACCCAUCCAAAUCCAAGCAUGAAGAAAACUGUCAUUUUCUGCUAUCUUAUUGCCUACGUCAUACUUCUGUCUGCAUCAGGAUGUGGGGAGAUACACCACAAGUUACCAACAAAUGAUGAAGAAUGUAUCAAAUGGGGAGCUUUCUGUGGCUUCCUCAUCUGUGUCACACCAGAUAUUGCCCGAGGCCAGUGUGGUUUUGCACGUCCCUGCUGUUUCCGAUUUUAGAGAACAAUGAAUUACAGCUUCUACAUCUAACCAUAAUGGAUGACACCAACAAUACAAUGCUUCAUCUUCAGAUCCAGUGAGACCUCGAGUCACUGAAGAUGGCAAGAGAAAAAAAUAAAAUGAAACUGAUG